UAAUGGAGGUGAAGUUGGGGAAAGGAAAGUGUUUGGAGAAGGACAUAUUGUUGUACAAUUUUCCGGAGUUUGCACAUCAGCUUGAAGCACGUUCAAUGCCCAAUUAAGGUGAAAUAACUUGCCUUUCCUCACAACGUUUCGAAGCAGGUGAAAUUCAACUUGAUGACAUCUCUGCACCGUAUUUUGAAAAAGAAAGGAAUAAAUAGAUGAUCCCUGCAAUGGCAAGGUUACAAUACAUAAACUUAUUUCCGUGUUUGAGAAUCACAAUACGAGUCAACUCGUGUUUCUCUACAGCCAAUCUUCUUCCGCCCUCCUGGACGUAUCAUGGCCGCCCACACGGUAAAUUCAAAACAUUUCGUGAGUACGGCCGACAAGAGAGGCGUACAUAUGCCUCGUUUUGGAAAAUUUACCAUCCAAAAAAGAAAUACACACAAUAGCGUUCCCGAUGAGUAAA
This is a long non-coding RNA of Daphnia carinata, 454 nucleotides long. RefSeq lists it as uncharacterized. The transcript has 2 exons. The record is from RefSeq and is a predicted model, not a curated record. NCBI's taxonomy places the organism in Eukaryota, Metazoa, Arthropoda, Branchiopoda, Diplostraca, Daphniidae.